CAGGCAAAGCAUUCUCAUGGGCCGGCACCAGAAGCACAACCAGGGAAUUCUCCGGCACCAACAGCUCAUCCAGUAGGGUUUCCAAUGUAUGGAGCCACUGAAGGGAGCCUUCAGCCGCAGGAGUGCUCAGGGCGGUGCACGGAGAGGUGUUCGUCGACGGCGUACAAGAAGCCCUGCUUGUUCUUCGGCCAGAAGUGCUGCGCUACAUGUCUCUGCGUGCCGCCGGGAACAUACGGGAACAAGCGGUUCUGUCCCUGCUACAACAAUUGGAAGACAAAGCGAGGUGGCCCCAAAUGCCCAUGAGAGAAAGUGGUCCAUUAACCCUUUGAGAGCUCAAUGAGUGAAUUCAUAUAUCAGCAUCAGCUUUCAUUAAUGGGAUCCCCUACCCCAACACACACUUCUGG
RNAcentral lists this unclassified non-coding RNA (404 nucleotides) under Hevea brasiliensis (rubber tree). The record is from RNAcentral. Lineage: Eukaryota; Viridiplantae; Streptophyta; Magnoliopsida; Malpighiales; Euphorbiaceae.